This 253-nucleotide ribosomal RNA is filed under the name uncultured bacterium. RNAcentral's name for it is "partial 16S ribosomal RNA". It matches the Rfam family "Bacterial small subunit ribosomal RNA", at positions 524 to 776 of the family's 1533-position model. RNAcentral also lists the same sequence under 1 other name. The record is from RNAcentral.
GACGUAGGAUGCAAGCGUUGUCCGGAUUUAUUGGGCGUAAAGAGUUCGUAGGUGGUUUGUUAAGUCUGAUGUUAAAGACUGGGGCUCAACCUCGGGACUGCAUUGGAUACUGGCAGACUUGAGUGCGGUAGAGGCAAGUGGAAUUCCAGGUGUAGCGGUGAAAUGCGUAGAUAUCUGGAAGAACACCGGUGGCGCAAGCGACUUGCUGGGCCGUAACUGACACUGAGGAACGAAAGCUAGGGGAGCGAAUGGG